AAUACCAUGCAGUCGAACGAUGAAGCCCAGCUUGCUGGGUGGAUUAGUGGCGAACGGGUGAGUAACACGUGAGUAACCUGCCCUUAACUCUGGGAUAAGCCUGGGAAACUGGGUCUAAUACCGGAUAGGAGCGUCCACCGCAUGGUGGGUGUUGGAAAGAUUUAUCGGUUUUGGAUGGACUCGCGGCCUAUCAGCUUGUUGGUGAGGUAAUGGCUCACCAAGGCGACGACGGGUAGCCGGCCUGAGAGGGUGACCGGCCACACUGGGACUGAGACACGGCCCAGACUCCUACGGGAGGCAGCAGUGGGGAAUAUUGCACAAUGGGCGAAAGCCUGAUGCAGCGACGCCGCGUGAGGGAUGACGGCCUUCGGGUUGUAAACCUCUUUCAGUAGGGAAGAAGCGAAAGUGACGGUACCUGCAGAAGAAGCACCGGCUAACUACGUGCCAGCAGCCGCGGUAAUACGUAGGGUGCGAGCGUUAUCCGGAAUUAUUGGGCGUAAAGAGCUCGUAGGCGGUUUGUCGCGUCUGUCGUGAAAGUCCGGGGCUUAACCCCGGAUCUGCGGUGGGUACGGGCAGACUAGAGUGCAGUAGGGGAGACUGGAAUUCCUGGUGUAGCGGUGGAAUGCGCAGAUAUCAGGAGGAACACCGAUGGCGAAGGCAGGUCUCUGGGCUGUAACUGACGCUGAGGAGCGAAAGCAUGGGGAGCGAACAGGAUUAGAUACCCUGGUAGUCCAUGCCGUAAACGUUGGGCACUAGGUGUGGGGACCAUUCCACGGUUUCCGCGCCGCAGCUAACGCAUUAAGUGCCCCGCCUGGGGAGUACGGCCGCAAGGCUAAAACUCAAAGGAAUUGACGGGGGCCCGCACAAGCGGCGGAGCAUGCGGAUUAAUUCGAUGCAACGCGAAGAACCUUACCAAGGCUUGACAUGUUCUCGAUCGCCGUAGAGAUACGGUUUCCCCUUUGGGGCGGGUUCACAGGUGGUGCAUGGGUUGUCGUCAGCUCGUGUCGUGAGAUGUUGGGUUAAGUCCCGCAA
Molecule: ribosomal RNA, 1032 nt
Filed under: Micrococcus endophyticus
Lineage: Bacteria; Bacillati; Actinomycetota; Actinomycetes; Micrococcales; Micrococcaceae
Description: bacterial SSU rRNA
Rfam family: Bacterial small subunit ribosomal RNA
Source: RNAcentral